UGGGAAAGGAAGUCAGAACUCUCAGACAGCCAGGAGGUUGGCUUAGAAGCAGCCAUCCUUUAAAGAAAGCGUAAUAGCUCACUGGUCAAGAGGUCUGGUGCCGACAAUACAACGGGGCUAAAACUGUAUACCGAAGCUGCGAAUGCACAUCUUUUAGAUGUGCGUGGUAGGAGAGCAUUCUCAACAGCGUUGAAGCCAAACUGAGAAGAUUGGUGGAGCGUUGAGAAGAGACCCUGCCGGCAUAAGUAGCGAUAAUGAAUGUGAGAACCAUUCACGCCGAAAGUCUAAGGUUUCCUGAGGAAGGUUAAUCCGCUCAGGGUUAGGCGGUACCUAAGGCGAGGCCGAAAGGCGUAGUCGAUGGACAUCCGGUUAAUAUUCCGGACCUCCCAAAGAGUCGUUAUUACGAUGGGGUGACGCAGAAGGAUAAGCAGGACCUCCUAUGACUAUGGGGUUCGAUGUGCGCAAGCUGGAUCUGGUAGGCAAAUCCGCCAGGUCUUAACAGUGAGGCACAAAGCAGUAAGCCGUAUGGCUGAAAGCUGCUGAUUUCACGCUGCCAAGAAAAACCUCUAAGGAGAAUUUUUGGGAACCGUACCACAAACCGACACAGGUAGACGAGGAGAAUAUCCAAAGGCGCUCGAGUGAAAGCUUGUUAAGGAACUCGGCAAAUUAGACCCGUAACUUCGGGAGAAGGGUCGCCCCCUGGGUGCAAGCCUAGUGGGGCCGCAGUGAAACGCGAACGGCGACUGUUUAACAAAAACACAGGUCUCUGCAAAGUCAAAAACGACGUAUAGGGGCUGACUCCUGCCCGGUGCCGGAAGGUUAAAAGGAGGGGUUAGACGCAAGUCGAAGCUCUGAAUUGAAGCCCCGGUGAACGGCGGCCGUAACUAUAACGGUCCUAAGGUAGCGAAAUUCCUUGUCGGGUAAGUUCCGACCUGCACGAAUGGAGUAACGAUCGUUCGACUGUCUUAACGAGUUGCUCGGCGAACUUGUAGUACCGGUGAAGAUGCCGGUUACCCGCAGCUAGACGAAAAGACCCCGUGCACCUUUACUAUACUUUUACUAUGAGUUACGGCACUUGCUGCGCAGGAUAGGUGGGAGGCUUUGAUACCAGACUUUUGGGUUUGGUGGAGCCAACGGUGAGAUACCACCCUGCGAGUGUUGUGAUUCUAACCUGCUCCCCUGAUCGGGGAGAGGGACAUAGUAAGACGGGUAGUUUGACUGGGGCGGUCGCCUCCUAAAUUGUAACGGAGGCGCGCGAAGCUACACUCAGGUCGUUUGGAAAUCGACCGUCGAGUGCAAAGGCAUAAGUGUGGUUAACUGCGAGACCUACAAGUCGAGCAGAUGCGAAAGCAGGCCUUAGUGAUCCGGUGGUUCUGUAUGGAAGGGCCAUCGCUCAACGGAUAAAAGGUACGCCGGGGAUAACAGGCUGAUCGAAGCCAAGAGUUCAUAUCGACGCUUCGGUUUGGCACCUCGAUGUCGGCU
RNAcentral lists this ribosomal RNA (1482 nucleotides) under Parasulfuritortus sp. RNAcentral describes it as "partial 23S ribosomal RNA". It matches the Rfam family "Bacterial large subunit ribosomal RNA", at positions 1064 to 2537 of the family's 2925-position model. Lineage: Bacteria; Pseudomonadati; Pseudomonadota; Betaproteobacteria; Nitrosomonadales; Thiobacillaceae. The record is from RNAcentral.